RNAcentral lists this ribosomal RNA (492 nucleotides) under uncultured bacterium. RNAcentral describes it as "partial 16S ribosomal RNA". It matches the Rfam family "Bacterial small subunit ribosomal RNA", at positions 29 to 507 of the family's 1533-position model. The record is from RNAcentral.
AGUGAACGCUGGCGGUAGGCCUAACACAUGCAAGUCGAACGGCAGCACAGUAAGAGCUUGCUCUUACGGGUGGCGAGUGGCGGACGGGUGAGGAAUACAUCUGAAUCUACUUUUUCGUGGGGGAUAACGUAGGGAAACUUACGCUAAUACCGCAUACGACCUACGGGUGAAAGCAGGGGAUCUUCGGACCUUGCGCGAUUGAAUGAGCCGAUGUCGGAUUAGCUAGUUGGCGGGGUAAAGGCCCACCAAGGCGACGAUCCGUAGCUGGUCUGAGAGGAUGAUCAGCCACACUGGAACUGAGACACGGUCCAGACUCCUACGGGAGGCAGCAGUGGGGAAUAUUGGACAAUGGGCGCAAGCCUGAUCCAGCCAUACCGCGUGGGUGAAGAAGGCCUUCGGGUUGUAAAGCCCUUUUGUUGGGAAAGAAAAGCAGCAGGUUAAUACCCCGCUGUUCUGGCGGUACCCAAAGAAUAAGCACCGGCUAACUUCGUG